GUGGGGAAUAUUGGGCAAUGGGCGAAAGCCUGACCCAGCAACGCCGCGUGAAGGAAGAAGGCUUUCGGGUUGUAAACUUCUUUUACCAGGGACGAAACAAAUGACGGUACCUGGUGAAUAAGCCACGGCUAACUACGUGCCAGCAGCCGCGGUAAUACGUAGGUGGCGCGCGUUAUCCGGAUUUAUUGGGUGUAAAGGGCGUGUAGGCGGGACAGCAAGUCAGAUGUGAAAACCAGAGGCUCAACCUCUGGCCUGCAUUUGAAACUGUUGUUCUGGAGGGUCGGAGAGGUGAUCGGAAUUCCGUGUGUAGCGGUGAAAUGCGUAGAUAUACGGAGGAACACCAGUGGCGAAGGCGGAUUACUGGACGAUAACUGACGCUGAGGCGCGAAAGCGUGGGGAGCAAACAGGAUUAGAAACCCGUGUAGUCC
Molecule: ribosomal RNA, 428 nt
Filed under: uncultured bacterium
Lineage: Bacteria
Description: partial 16S ribosomal RNA
Rfam family: Bacterial small subunit ribosomal RNA
Source: RNAcentral